GCCUGUAGCUCAGUUGGAUAGAGCGAGGGGUUCCUAACCCCUAGGUCGGGGGUUCGAGUCCUCCCAGGC
This 69-nucleotide transfer RNA is filed under the name Candidatus Latescibacterota bacterium. RNAcentral's name for it is "tRNA-Arg". It matches the Rfam family "tRNA". Rfam says of the family: Transfer RNA (tRNA) molecules are approximately 80 nucleotides in length. Their secondary structure includes four short double-helical elements and three loops (D, anti-codon, and T loops). Further hydrogen bonds mediate the characteristic L-shaped molecular structure. tRNAs have two regions of fundamental functional importance: the anti-codon, which is responsible for specific mRNA codon recognition, and the 3' end, to which the tRNAs corresponding amino acid is attached (by aminoacyl-tRNA synthetases). tRNAs cope with the degeneracy of the genetic code in two manners: having more than one tRNA (with a specific anti-codon) for a particular amino acid; and 'wobble' base-pairing, i.e. permitting non-standard base-pairing at the 3rd anti-codon position. Lineage: Bacteria; Pseudomonadati; Candidatus Latescibacterota. The record is from RNAcentral.